AUAAUGGGCCUAUCCUCGAAUCAGAUGUUAUUUUUUAAAAAAGCUCAGAUUAUACAUAGUUGGAUCCUGAAAAGCCGAAUCACAAAAAUAAUAUGGGCUUUACUUUUGAAAACUAAAAAAGCCCAAUAUCUUGAAAAAUGAUUUAACAUGCAUAAGCGCCACCUUGUGUCGAAAGGUGGAGUAGGCUCUGUUUAGACGACAAUAAAUUUUAUUGAGUGCUGCUGAUUGUGAAUUUUGAAUCUUUAAAGUUAUAUUUUUGUUAUUAACUUGUCGAGGCCUUUGAGCACUAACAAAAUUGGAGUUCCAGCUCACCCACUGGCCCACUAGGCGUUAUUACGUUAACGAAAUUUCCAACGGUCAAAAAUAGUUUUCCUUUUUUCAAUGGGGAUAGUUUGGUUCAAAAAAAAAGGUCGAAUUUUGUUUUUUGGGUAUGACGAUCAUAAGCAAAAGCAAAGGAUGUCUUCAAGAGAUCAAAUCAACUUGCGCCGACUCCAACACUCUGUUUUCAAAAGGUAUUUUUCUUCCUUAUCUAUG
Arabidopsis thaliana (thale cress) is the source of this 534-nucleotide long non-coding RNA. RefSeq annotates it as other RNA. The record is from RefSeq. The transcript has 2 exons. NCBI's taxonomy places the organism in Eukaryota, Viridiplantae, Streptophyta, Magnoliopsida, Brassicales, Brassicaceae.